This is a long non-coding RNA of Silurus meridionalis, 395 nucleotides long. RefSeq lists it as uncharacterized. Lineage: Eukaryota; Metazoa; Chordata; Actinopteri; Siluriformes; Siluridae. The record is from RefSeq and is a predicted model, not a curated record. The transcript is spliced from 2 exons.
AGAUUCUAACAGGUAAGUCUGUUCUAUUAUACAGGUGUAAGGUGAUGCAUCUCUGCUGAUGAAAUGGGAAACGUUUUUAUUGUGGAAAAAAAUGCCUGCAGAAAUCAAAGACACCUGCAUCGCAAGAGGAACAAAUCCUAUCCAGAUCCACCUCAUCUCCAAAAAAACUUAUGAUUUGUUUCAAUCACAAAACAACAGAUGUUUGACAUGCGAGUUUAUUCCGAUGAACGCGCAUGCGCCGUUUUUCAUUCCCCCAUCCAAAAUCCUGCAGAAUUAAAACCUGCAAAAAAAAAACUGUUUCCCUCGAAACACUAAAAGUCUUUUCCGACCUCCACACAAAACAUUUCCCACCACCUUACUCCACACGCAGACGGCGUUAUUCGCGUUUAUUGUUG